Long non-coding RNA from Leptidea sinapis, 691 nucleotides. RefSeq lists it as uncharacterized. The transcript is spliced from 2 exons. NCBI's taxonomy places the organism in Eukaryota, Metazoa, Arthropoda, Insecta, Lepidoptera, Pieridae. The record is from RefSeq and is a predicted model, not a curated record.
ACUCAAAUGGCCAGCCUACGAAAACCCCUACCCCCUCACCCAUUGCUUCACCAACUAUCUCUCCUCUGGGAUGUAAACGUCGCCACAUCUCAGAGCACUCGGCCCUUGAUCAAACCAAACAUAGGAAACAGCUGAUACAAGACAACGGAAAGAACACUUUGAUGAGUGACAGACAGAAGCUGGACCAGAUUGUUCAGAACGUGUACAGCUCGCGGCUUCAGCCCGCACUCGCAGAGGCGCCACCCAACCACAUGUCCGCACUCGCGCUCUGCUACACGCCCGCUGCUCACGGGGGCGGAGAGGCACAGUGGUGGGAGCGCAUGCGACGUGUGAGACCCAUCGAGAGUGCGGUUUGCGGCGUGUGCGGUAAGCGACUUAGCAACCGGUACAACCUGCGCGUGCACCUGGAGACGCAUGUCCCGAGCCCUCACGCCUGCCGCGCAUGCGCGCACGUUUCGCGCUCGCGGGACUCACUGCGCAAACACGUGGCCUACGCGCACCCGUCACGCUGACGUGACACGUGUACCUCGUAUGUUGGCUAUAACACACCUCAAACGGUCUCGCAAUCACUGAUAAGAUUAGCGUUAAGUUAUUAAAGUAAGAACAAUUUAUAUAUGCAAAACGGCACGGUGAUUAAAAUGUAAUACUGUAUUUUGUUACUAUAACAUAUUCAUUAAAAGAAAUCUAUUUA